This 623-nucleotide ribosomal RNA is filed under the name uncultured Alphaproteobacteria bacterium. RNAcentral's name for it is "bacterial SSU rRNA". It matches the Rfam family "Bacterial small subunit ribosomal RNA", at positions 329 to 969 of the family's 1533-position model. The record is from RNAcentral. Lineage: Bacteria; Pseudomonadati; Pseudomonadota; Alphaproteobacteria.
CAGGUCACUCCUACGGGAGGCAGCAGUGGGGAAUUUUGCGCAAUGGGGGAAACCCUGACGCAGCAACGCCGCGUGGAGGAUGAAGUCCCUUGGGAUGUAAACUCCUUUCGAUCGGGACGAUUAUGACGGUACCCGUAGAAGAAGCUCCGGCUAACUUCGUGCCAGCAGCCGCGGUAAUACGAAGGGGGCUAGCGUUGUUCGGAAUUACUGGGCGUAAAGCGCGCGCAGGCGGUCUUCCAAGUCAGUGGUGAAAGCCCGGAGCUCAACUCCGGAAUUGCCAUUGAAACUGUUUAGCUUGAGGACGAGAGAGGUGAGUGGAAUUCCCAGUGUAGAGGUGAAAUUCGUAGAUAUUGGGAAGAACACCGGUGGCGAAGGCGGCUCACUGGCUCAUUUCUGACGCUCAGGCGCGACAGCGUGGGGAUCAAACAGGAUUAGAUACCCUGGUAGUCCACGCCGUAAACGAUGAAUGCUAGCCGUUGGGCAGCUUGCUGUUCAGUGGCGCAGCUAACGCAUUAAGCAUUCCGCCUGGGGAGUACGGCCGCAAGGUUGAAACUUAAAGGAAUUGACGGACUCCUACGGGAGGCAGCAGUGGGGAAUAUUGGACAAUGGGGGCAACCCUGAUC